RNAcentral lists this microRNA precursor (76 nucleotides) under Schistosoma mansoni. RNAcentral describes it as "mir-3492 microRNA precursor family". It matches the Rfam family "mir-3492 microRNA precursor family". The record is from Rfam by way of RNAcentral. Lineage: Eukaryota; Metazoa; Platyhelminthes; Trematoda; Strigeidida; Schistosomatidae.
AGCCUUCUAAACCCGUGGAGACUUUAUCGAAUACCAACCCACCAGGGCUAAUGAAGCUUCAAAGAUAAGUGAAGUG